Molecule: long non-coding RNA, 1300 nt
Organism: Grammomys surdaster
Lineage: Eukaryota; Metazoa; Chordata; Mammalia; Rodentia; Muridae
Exons: 2
Source: RefSeq, a predicted model, not a curated record
UUUCCUGGAACUUGCUCUGUAGAUUGACCUUGAACACAGAGAUCUGUGUGGCUCUGUCUCCCUUAGUGCUGGGAUUAAAGAUGUAAACCACCAUGCAGUGUAGAAUCUUGCCCCAGAGUCCCACUCCUUUAAUCUGCUAUCUCCUAGAACACAGGAUUCAGCUCCAUUUCACUUACUGGUGCCCCUUUAAUACUCAAACCACAGAUUUUAUGUUGUUCAUUUCUCAGCUUGCUAUGCUUGUUUAAUAUUCUCUUCAUGAGACUUCACCAGAGAGCAAAGUCUAUCUAUGAUGAGCAUUUCUGAGACUUCCUUUGUCAAUGCAAUUAAUCUGAGUCUCUUCAACUUAGCCUCAGACAGACUUCAGACAAGGGCAAAAUACCACAAAAACAGUCUCUAGGCCACGUACUGAAAUUCUUCUCCACUGAAACCUCUUGGACCAGGUCAGCACAAUUCAAAUCAUUCACAGCAACAAAGUCUUCCAUAUUCCUUCUAGAAUAGCCCAUUAAGGCCCACUUAAAGCAUUCUAAUGCUUUCCAAAUCCAAAGUCAGACUGUAUUCCAUGCAAGGCAGGCACUUCCAGUCACAGUUAAUUCCUAGACACAGACUCAGUGCCACACAGGUAGCAAGACACCACCCUGGAUGGCAGGAUGCACUUCAAAGGCAUGUAGCAGCUAGACUCCAGGGCACUUGUCUGGGUGCUCCUGCACCUUCAAUCUGGCUGUCAUCAUUGUCAGAGCAUGCCUGGACCUCUACUUCCACAUUUCUUACCAGUGGGAGACUCUCCUCAUCAUUGGCCACUCAGUUCUUGGCUCAGCAGCCUGAACGAUCCUGCUGAAACAGGUUGGAUCUUGUUGCUCCUCUGAGCAAAGCCCAUUUAGUGGUAUUGCCAUUCACUUUAGAACAAAAGCCAAAGUCCUUACUGCAGCUUACAUCCUGUCUCGUUGGAGUCUAGAUCUCCAUGCUCGCCCUCCAGUAUUCUAUUCAUCACUUCUUGCAGAGCUUCCAGCAAGGAAGAACUGAAGGCUUUCUACUUCCUUUCACUUCCAGGAGAACCCUGACCCAGUGGGACAGUUAAACGAGACAAGAAGCCGGAAGCCUUGGACUGAGAUGUAAAGAGCUGCAUCUGCUGGGUGAAAGGUUACUACCUUCUUCUAGUCAGUGUACAGACAUUUACUCCGAAGAAUUCAACUGUUGGCUAAAAAUCCAAAAGUUGGGCAUCAACCCAAGACGGUCCACUGGUAGGCAAGGCUCUACCAUUGAGCUUCAUCACCAGCUCAAACAAAUUUUUCAUGGAAACAAA